AAAACUAUAUUUUCAGAGACCAUUUCUAUAGUUUGGUACUAAAGAAGUUUCUCAGAAUGUGUAGAGCACCCCAAACCACGAGGAGGAGGCCCAGUGUUCUCUCCUGAGCAUGAAACAGGCUUUUGGUGCUGCUUUUGCAACUGCCAAUAGCCUCUGAAGAUCAUUCUUAUCUUCUGUUGGAAGAGUAAGGAGGAGAGAACAUAGUCUGAGUGGU
Small nucleolar RNA from Phyllostomus discolor (pale spear-nosed bat), 214 nucleotides. RefSeq annotates it as small nucleolar RNA U3. The transcript has a single exon. The record is from RefSeq and is a predicted model, not a curated record. Lineage: Eukaryota; Metazoa; Chordata; Mammalia; Chiroptera; Phyllostomidae.